Paramisgurnus dabryanus is the source of this 447-nucleotide non-coding RNA. The record is from RefSeq and is a predicted model, not a curated record. Lineage: Eukaryota; Metazoa; Chordata; Actinopteri; Cypriniformes; Cobitidae.
AUUAUUUUACUAUGGUAAACUUUAUUAUGAAAAACCGCUUACUUAUAAGUGCUAUGUUUUUACUUAUUAGGUUUUAAGGAGAAUGCAACAUGUUCCAGGGCCUCUUACCUGCGUGAUUCAUCAUCCAGGUUUUGCACAAAUUGUCUAAAUCCCUACACACAGAACAUUUAUUGUACCGACUAUAAGCCUUUGAGGUGCAGGACUAGAAUACGCUUGGAGCUUCCUGAUCAGAUCGGUCACAAUUUUGGCUUUCGACGACCCCUGCACUGAAGAUGGCAUGCAAUCACGUCCUCCUUUGAAGGUCUCUCAAACUGUGAUGCCAGGUCCAUUGGAAUCGGGGUUUCCUUCAGCUUAUCUUCAAAUACCUCAUCAAACACAAGCCUGAUCACAUCCUCCACAUAACUGUAGAAAUAUUGCAGUCAAUAAAUCUUUUGUUUUGAUCAUUUA